This 477-nucleotide ribosomal RNA is filed under the name uncultured bacterium. RNAcentral's name for it is "bacterial SSU rRNA". It matches the Rfam family "Bacterial small subunit ribosomal RNA", at positions 327 to 793 of the family's 1533-position model. The record is from RNAcentral.
ACUCGUAGACUCCUACGGGAGGCAGCAGUGGGGAAUUUUUGGACAAUGGGCGCAAGCCUGAUCCAGCAAUGCCGCGUGCAGGAAGAAGGCCUUCGGGUUGUAAACUGCUUUUGUCAGGGAAGAAAUCCUUUUGGGCUAAUACCUCGGAGGGAUGACGGUACCUGAAGAAUAAGCACCGGCUAACUACGUGCCAGCAGCCGCGGUAAUACGUAGGGGUGCGAGCGUUAAUCGGAAUUACUGGGCGUAAAGCGUGCGCAGGCGGCUUUGCAAGACAGAGGUGAAAUCCCCGGGCUCAACCUGGGAACUGCCUUUGUGACUGCAAGGCUAGAGUACGGCAGAGGGGGAUGGAAUUCCGCGUGUAGCAGUGAAAUGCGUAGAUAUGCGGAGGAACACCGAUGGCGAAGGCAAUCCCCUGGGCCUGUACUGACGCUCAUGCACGAAAGCGUGGGGAGCAAACAGGAUUAGAUACCCUGGUAG